RNAcentral lists this ribosomal RNA (700 nucleotides) under Sticta aff. subscrobiculata. RNAcentral describes it as "SSU rRNA". It matches the Rfam family "Bacterial small subunit ribosomal RNA", at positions 417 to 1127 of the family's 1533-position model. The record is from RNAcentral. Lineage: Eukaryota; Fungi; Ascomycota; Lecanoromycetes; Peltigerales; Lobariaceae.
UUGGAAGUUUAAAUUUCUAGGUAGAAUUAUGAUGAUGACAUUAUCUACCUAUUAGUCUUGACCAAAUUACGUGCCAGCAGUCGCGGUAAUACGUAGAAGACAAGUGUUAUUCAUCUUUAUUAGGUUUAAAGAGUACCAAGACGGUUAAUAAAGCCCAAAAGAAAUGAAUACGGGGGACACAUUAACUAGAGUUAUAUGAAAGGAAGCUAUAAGGUACUGUUGUGUGUAGAGAUGAAAUUUUAUGAUACCAGAUGAUUGGCACAGAUUUAUGCGAAGGCAUCUUCUUAUGUAAUAACUGACGUUGUAGGACGAAGGCUUAGGAAGUGAACAGGAUUUGGUACCCCAGUAAUCUAGGCAGAAAAUGAUGAAUGUCAUAGGUUGAAUACAGACAGGUUAAAUUGACUAUCUAAUAGUAAAUAGGUGGUAUAUUAAUCAGUCUAUUAUUGUGUCUAUAAAUGAAAGUGUAAGCAUUCCACCUCAAGAGUAAUAUGGCAACAUUGGAACUGUAAUCAUUAGACCGUUUCUGAAACCAGUAGUGAAGUAUGUUGUUUAAUUAGAUGAUACACAAAAACCUUACCACAAUUUGAAUAUAUAUAAAAUAUAUUUACAAGCGCUGCACGGCUGUCUACAGUUAAUGUCGUGAGACUUUGGUUAGCUCCAUUAAAUUGACGUAAACCCUAAUUUUAUUUAUAAAUAUAAU